GAUGAACGCUAGCUACAGGCUUAACACAUGCAAGUCGAGGGGAAACGACAUCGCAAGCUUGCUUUUGAUGGGCGUCGACCGGCGCACGGGUGAGUAACUCGUAUCCAACCUGCCCACCACUUGGGGAUAACCUUGCGAAAUUAAGACUAAUACCCAAUGAUAUCUCUAGAAGACAUCUGAAAGAGAUUAAAGAUUUAUCGGUGAUGGAUGGGGAUGCGUCUGAUUAGCUUGUUGGCGGGGUAACGGCCCACCAAGGCAACGAUCAGUAGGGGUUCUGAGAGGAAGGUCCCCCACAUUGGAACUGAGACACGGUCCAAACUCCUACGGGAGGCAGCAGUGAGGAAUAGUGGGCAAUGGACGAGAGUCUGAACCAGCCAAGUAGCGUGCAGGAAGACGGCCCUAUGGGUUGUAAACUGCUUUUAUAAGGGAAUAAAGUGAGUCUCGUGAGACUUUUUGCAUGUACCUUAUGAAUAAGAACCGGCUAAUUCCGUG
Molecule: ribosomal RNA, 492 nt
Filed under: uncultured bacterium
Lineage: Bacteria
Description: partial 16S ribosomal RNA
Rfam family: Bacterial small subunit ribosomal RNA
Source: RNAcentral